Molecule: ribosomal RNA, 493 nt
Filed under: uncultured bacterium
Lineage: Bacteria
Description: partial 16S ribosomal RNA
Rfam family: Bacterial small subunit ribosomal RNA
Source: RNAcentral
GACGAACGCUGGCGGCGUGCUUAACACAUGCAAGUCGAACGGUGAAGGGACCGGUUUUUGCUGGUUCUGGAUGAGUGGCGAACGGGUGAGUAACACGUGAGUAACCUGCCCCCUUCUUCUGGAUAACCGCAUGAAAGUGUGGCUAAUACGGGAUAUUCUGCGCCUGCUGCAUGGUGGGUGUGGGAAAGAUAUUGUUUCGGUGGGGGAUGGGCUCGCGGCCUAUCAGCUUGUUGGUGGGGUGAUGGCCUACCAAGGCGGUGACGGGUAGCCGGCCUGAGAGGGUGGACGGUCACACUGGGACUGAGACACGGCCAAGACUCCUACGGGAGGCAGCAGUGGGGAAUAUUGCACAAUGGGCGCAAGCCUGAUGCAGCGACGCCGCGUGAGGGAUGGAGGCCUGCGGGUUGUAAACCUCUUUCGCCAGUGAAGCAGGCCUGUCCCUUUUGUGGGUGGGUUGACGGUAGCUGGAUAAGAAGCGCCGGCUAACUACGUG